UAUUAAUUUUGAUUGCAGCAGCAAUUCCCAUUUCUAGAUCGAUGGGCAGUUUGUUGUCUCUAUCCCAGAUUGGUAAACAACAGUUUGUUUAAAACAAGUUGUUGAAAUUAAAGUUUCAAUUAAGCAAUGUGAUCCCGUGCCGCCUUGUCUCUCUAUAAUCCUCCGUGGGAUUAUAAAUUUCACUACUUAGCUCGUUUAAAAUCAAUCCCUUCAUCUGAUUUUUCUACGAGAAAAAGAAGGGGCCAAGAAAUUUCUAUGGGGUUUGAUUAAUAUUUGCGAAGCUGUCUGCUGCUGGGUGUACUUUUUUCUCUAUGGGUAUUUGUCAAAUUGGAGAAAAUUGAGCUUCGGAAAAUGGUGAGUGCCCGCUGUGGACCGUGGAAUUUGCUUUUAAACCAUCAGGGAAGAAGGCAUGCAAAUGGGAAUCGCGAGAGAGAGACUGAAGAAGAGGCAAGCAUGAUCGAUGAAGAAAGCAGGGAUAAAUCAGCUUGGAGAUUGGACAAGAAGCGGCGGCCGGCGUUCUCUGGGAUAAUUGUCGACGGCGGUGGCCCAGGGUGGCUCGACGGCGACAGUGUAGAGUCUGCAAAAUGGAGACCCUAUUUGGUAGCCAUCCAUGUCUGCGAAGAUUCAGAAAAUGGUUCAAAGUUCAGCAAAAGCUUUCCUGUGAUGGAAAUGAAUGAUUCGAGGGGUUCAAAUUCAAGGGAAUCUUUUGCUAAGAAAUUGAUCAAGAGACUAGCUAAGCAAAGAGCUAUGCCUACGGCAGUAACAUUAGAAUUCGACCCGACCGGUCCCCUUGGGAAUUGGGUUUCACUUGCCAAAUGCUAUGCCAAUCAACUCCCUGCAGCUAGUAUUGUGCUUGCUGUUCACAAGGGAAAGACUAUCUUCAAAAGGCAGUCAGUUGAUCAGUUUAGAGGUUUUCAAUUAGACUUGAGGCCUGAGUUCUAUUUCAGUGAAGUUAAUACUACCUCCAGAGAUGCAAAGGCAUUGAAGGAAGAUAGUGAGUUCCUUGUUGAAACGAACUCGAUAAAUGGAAAUAUGAACAGUCAGAAUAAGAAAGCUCUUCUGGGUUCGAUUUCUGUUAUCCGAAGACAGAUUCCAGAAUCAAAUGUCGGUUGGCCACUUCGACGGAGAAGUUCUCACGGAGGUCAAGAGGUUUUGAGAAAAGGAGCUAGAAAUGUGUCUGUGGUUCAAUGGGUAAUGAGCCUGCCUAAUAGAUCAGCUGUAAAGUUACCAAAAGAGCAGAGUGAUAUGGCUUUUGAAAGACCAGAAAUUUCUUUAAAAAAUGAACUUGAGGGGAUUGAAGGAACCAGUCCUCUGGUGAUUCAGAUCUUGGGAGAUGAGGCUGGAGACAGUCAUGAAAAUCCAAAAGACAGUGAAAUUGGUAAUGAAGUCAAGCAAAAUGUAAAAAUGGCCCUUUCAGUCUCUUUUAUUGUAAAAGAAUUGCAACAAGAAACAGAGUCAUUUCAAGAAACAGAAUCAGAGACGAGCCUGUCUAACCAAACAACUGACACAAAUUUGGAGUCCCAGAUUGGUUGGGUUUCAAAUAAUUCAGAAGAGCAAGUAGAAAGGGUAAUGUUUAAUCAUUCCAAAGAAAUGAAUAUUGAGAAUAACGCUCUCGGAAUUGUGUCCAACCAGCUGGAGCUUCCUAUCAAGAUGAAUCAAUCAGGUAGCAAGUGGUUCACCUAUGCAGAGCUAGAGAUAGCAACUUCCAAUUUCUCCGCAGAAAAUCUAAUUGGAGAAGGAGGUUGUAGCACUGUAUACAGAGGAUGUCUUUCCGAUGGCAGUUUCAUUGUAGUAAAAGUUUUGAAGUCGUACAAGGGAGCUCGGGACGACUUUUUGUUGGAAAUAAACACCGUCUCCUCAAUCAACCAUAAACAUAUCACGCCUCUUAUUGGUGUGUGCAUGGAAAAUGAAUGUCUUAUGUCGGUAUACGAAUACUUUCCUGAAGGCAGUUUGGAGGAACGUUUGCACGUUCAUAGUGGAAGAGGUAAAUUUCAAUGGGAAAUGAGGUUUAAAGUAGCCGUUGCUGUUGCGGAGGCAUUAAAUUACCUUCACAACGAAUGUUCUCCGCCUGUUAUUCAUAGAGAUGUUAAAUCUUCAAACAUUCUUCUCUCUGACAAGCUCCAACCCCAGUUCUCUCUGUUGCAGCUAUCAGAUUUUGGGCUUGCUAUGUGGGGGCCAACAGAUUUAUCAUAUGUAAUAAACACUGAUGUGGUAGGGACGUUUGGAUAUAUCGCUCCAGAGUAUCUCAUGCAUGGAAGGGUCAGUGACAAAAUUGACGUUUAUGCCUUCGGUAUUGUCCUUCUCGAACUUCUGUCAGGCAGACGUCCCAUCGAUUUCAGUGUUAAAAGACAAGGAAGCUUAGUCCUGUGGGCUAAGGAAGUGUUAAACAGUGGGGAUCCUAAGGAAUUAAUGGAUCCAAGCUUGGAUAUAGACUUCAAUGAUGUUCAGGUUCAAAGAAUGGUUUCAGCAGCCACCCUAUGCAUUGAUCCUUCGCCUCGGCUACGUCCGAAUGUGAGCAAGAUACUGAAGCUAUUAAAAGGAGAGGCAUACAUCGAUGACAUUGUAAAUUUCCGUGGUUCGGAGGAGCUACACGACAUCGAUAAUAUUUUUCCAAAGUUUGUUAGCAAACCCAGUCUGAGUUUUGCACUCCGUGACAUAGACUAUGACUGUACAUCGUCGAAUAAUACACAUACAACAUCGAAUAAUACACAUACAACAUCAAAUACUGCUGCGAAAAAAACCCGUCGUCUGAAGUUAAAGGACUACUUGAAAGAAGAGCAAGAAUAACUUGGAAGAGGCUAUAUAAUGAGGCAGAUAAAGGCAAGCUUUCGACCACGAAUCAAUGGGGGAAAAGGAAAGGAAAAGCAAUGUAGAUGCCGCUGCUGCAUGAGCCAGAUUUUUUAGCAGGUCAAAAAUGCAGGUUGGUUGGGAAGCUUUUUCGACACAAAAAUACAUUCUUGUACGCAAACUUGUGCAUAGCUCGUCGAUUAAUACAUAAAUUAUGUACCAAAAGGUAAAACAAAUAAAUAAAUAAUCGCAACUUGUGAUCAA
Momordica charantia (bitter melon) is the source of this 3051-nucleotide non-coding RNA. Lineage: Eukaryota; Viridiplantae; Streptophyta; Magnoliopsida; Cucurbitales; Cucurbitaceae. The record is from RefSeq and is a predicted model, not a curated record.